Molecule: non-coding RNA, 76 nt
Organism: Epilithonimonas sp.
Lineage: Bacteria; Pseudomonadati; Bacteroidota; Flavobacteriia; Flavobacteriales; Weeksellaceae
Source: Rfam
ACAUAGCCCCGAUUGUAGUGUAAAUCCUUUUUCUUUUCAGAAAAGAAAAAGAUUGCAACGGAAAGCGGGUUGAUAA